AGGUUUUAAAAAAUUAAUAGGGAAAGCGGUAAAAAUCCGCUGCAGCCCCCGCUACUGUAAAUAGGGAUGAAAUCAUAUAUAUUUGCCACUGGAAAUAUUUUUCCGGGAAGGUAUUGAGAUUAAAAUGAACUAUGAGCCAGGAGACCUGCCUGUAAAUUUU
This 160-nucleotide non-coding RNA is filed under the name uncultured Clostridium sp. The record is from RNAcentral. Lineage: Bacteria; Bacillati; Bacillota; Clostridia; Eubacteriales; Clostridiaceae.